This 661-nucleotide ribosomal RNA is filed under the name Gottfriedia acidiceleris. RNAcentral's name for it is "bacterial SSU rRNA". It matches the Rfam family "Bacterial small subunit ribosomal RNA", at positions 77 to 727 of the family's 1533-position model. Lineage: Bacteria; Bacillati; Bacillota; Bacilli; Caryophanales; Bacillaceae. The record is from RNAcentral.
GCUCCUGCAGGUUAGCGGCGGACGGGUGAGUAACACGUGGGCAACCUACCUGUAAGACUGGGAUAACUUCGGGAAACCGGAGCUAAUACCGGAUGACAUAAAGGAACUCCUGUUCCUUUAUUGAAAGAUGGCUUCGGCUAUCACUUACAGAUGGGCCCGCGGCGCAUUAGCUAGUUGGUGAGGUAACGGCUCACCAAGGCGACGAUGCGUAGCCGACCUGAGAGGGUGAUCGGCCACACUGGGACUGAGACACGGCCCAGACUCCUACGGGAGGCAGCAGUAGGGAAUCUUCCGCAAUGGACGAAAGUCUGACGGAGCAACGCCGCGUGAACGAUGAAGGCCUUCGGGUCGUAAAGUUCUGUUGUUAGGGAAGAACAAGUGCUAGUUGAAUAAGCUGGCACCUUGACGGUACCUAACCAGAAAGCCACGGCUAACUACGUGCCAGCAGCCGCGGUAAUACGUAGGUGGCAAGCGUUGUCCGGAAUUAUUGGGCGUAAAGCGCGCGCAGGCGGUUUCUUAAGUCUGAUGUGAAAGCCCCCGGCUCAACCGGGGAGGGUCAUUGGAAACUGGGAAACUUGAGUGCAGAAGAGGAAAGUGGAAUUCCAAGUGUAGCGGUGAAAUGCGUAGAGAUUUGGAGGAACACCAGUGGCGAAGGCGACUU